GGAUCAUUAAUGAAUUACUUGGGUGCUGAUGCUGGUCUAUGCAAAUAGGCACUGUGCUCGCAUUCAUCUAUUCUAUCUAUCUCUUGUGCACCAACGAUAGCUUUGCUGGUUUUGGAGCCUGGGCGGAAACGCACUUGCUCUGUUGAACAGUGGAGAUCAUGAGCGGGAAACCGCACUGUCUCUGGUUCGCCUUCAGCAGGCUAUAUUUUAUAUACCCUUAGUAUGUUUUAGAAUGUCUUUUUAUUGACCUUUCGGUCGGUAAAUCUAUACAACUUUCAGCAACGGAUCUCUUGGCUCUCCCAUCGAUGAAGAACGCAGCGAAAUGCGAUAACUAAUGUGAAUUGCAGAAUUCAGUGAAUCAUCGAGUCUUUGAACGCACCUUGCGCCCUUUGGUAUUCCGAAGGGCAUGCCUGUUUGAGUGUCAUUAAAUUCUCAACCUUGAAAGCUUUUGUUUUCAAGGCUUGGAUGUGAGGGUUUGCUGGCUUCUAAAGUCUGCUCCCUUUAAAUGCAUUAGUGGGAUCCUUUUGUGGACCGACGGUGUGAUAAUUAUCUACGCCGCUCUGUGAAGCAAAAAACCUAUAGGAAACCUGCUUAUAACCGUCCGCAAGGACAAUUACUUGACAAUUUGACCUCAAAUCAGGUAGGACUACCCGCUGAACUUAAGCAUAUCAAUAAGCGGAGGAAAAGAAACUAACAAGGAUUCCCUUAGUAACUGCGAGUGAAGCGGGAAAAGCUCAAAUUUAAAAUCUGGCGGCUCUGCCGUCCGAGUUGUAAUUUAGAGAAGUGUUACCCGUGCUGGACCGUGCACAAGUCUCUUGGAAUAGAGCGUCAUAGAGGGUGAGAAUCCCGUCUUUGGCACGGACUCCCAGUGCAUAGUGGUGCGCUCUCGAAGAGUCGAGUUGUUUGGGAAUGCAGCUCAAAAUGGGUGGUAAAUUCCAUCUAAAGCUAAAUAUUGGGGAGAGACCGAUAGCGAACAAGUACCGUGAGGGAAAGAUGAAAAGAACUUUGGAAAGAGAGUUAAACAGUACGUGAAAUUGCUGAAAGGGAAACGCUUGAAGUCAGUCGCGUCGUUCAGGAUUCAGCCUUGCUUUUGCUUGGUUUACUUCCUGUCCUGACGGGUCAGCAUCAGUUUUGGCCAGUGGAUAAGGAUGUGGAGAAUGUGGCACCUUCGGGUGUGUUAUAGCUCUGCGUCGCAUACAUUGGUUGGGACUGAGGAACUCAGCACGCCGCAAGGCCGGGUUU
This 1242-nucleotide ribosomal RNA is filed under the name uncultured fungus. RNAcentral describes it as "eukaryotic LSU rRNA". The stretch from base 627 to 1242 matches the Rfam family "Eukaryotic large subunit ribosomal RNA", at positions 1 to 618 of the family's 3401-position model. Lineage: Eukaryota; Fungi. The record is from RNAcentral.